Arachis ipaensis is the source of this 504-nucleotide non-coding RNA. Lineage: Eukaryota; Viridiplantae; Streptophyta; Magnoliopsida; Fabales; Fabaceae. The record is from RefSeq and is a predicted model, not a curated record.
GGCAUGGGGUGUGCCGGUAAGCUCAUGCCGUCGGAAAACCUCGCUGCCAUCACCGAAAAAGCCACUGCCAUUGUCGUGAUCGGAAUUCGUUGCCGCUGCCGCUUGAGGUGGCUGUUGGGGCUACCGCCCAACCGGUUCAGAGGUCGUUGCUGUUCGGUUCGGCCGUUCUUUCUUAGUUUCAGAGCUAGAAUCCGGUUUGCUUGUGCCGUUUGGGGCUGUUUCUGCUUUUGAGAGAGCGGGCAGAGCCGAGAUUUUGAUUGCCGGUGAUUUCGGGUCGAGAUAAAAGGAGUUGGUUAACGAGUUGGGUUGUGGUUCCAAUGUUGUGAGGAUAUGGGCGCAGAAGUUACGAAGAGCUUAUUUAAUUGUUGUUGUGAUGCUCUGUAUUGUUUUAGUUAUGGUUUAUUGUACCCUCGCCUUUAUCUUGAUAUAUUCUGUAAGAGGGAUAGGAAUUGUAUUGGAUAAUGCUUAUAAUAUUAUCUAUGUGUAUAAGUGUAUAUAUGUAUG